AAUCCCUUAGCUCAGUGGUAGAGCAUUGUACUUAUGUGGAUACCUUCCCCACGCGCUAUAGUUUAUGCAGUGGUCCCGAGUUCGAACCUCGGAGGGAUUA
Piloderma croceum F 1598 is the source of this 100-nucleotide transfer RNA. It matches the Rfam family "tRNA". Rfam says of the family: Transfer RNA (tRNA) molecules are approximately 80 nucleotides in length. Their secondary structure includes four short double-helical elements and three loops (D, anti-codon, and T loops). Further hydrogen bonds mediate the characteristic L-shaped molecular structure. tRNAs have two regions of fundamental functional importance: the anti-codon, which is responsible for specific mRNA codon recognition, and the 3' end, to which the tRNAs corresponding amino acid is attached (by aminoacyl-tRNA synthetases). tRNAs cope with the degeneracy of the genetic code in two manners: having more than one tRNA (with a specific anti-codon) for a particular amino acid; and 'wobble' base-pairing, i.e. permitting non-standard base-pairing at the 3rd anti-codon position. The record is from Rfam. Lineage: Eukaryota; Fungi; Basidiomycota; Agaricomycetes; Atheliales; Atheliaceae.